RNAcentral lists this non-coding RNA (125 nucleotides) under marine eukaryotic metagenome. The record is from RNAcentral.
AGUCAGGAUCUUGGCGAUGUAAGGGAUCAACGGAAGAUUCAAAACCAGCAGAAACAGAUUGCCAACAUACAUGGAAGCGAUUACCGCCCAGAAGAUCUCUGGUUGAUCAAUAAAUAGCCUCGGUC